RNAcentral lists this ribosomal RNA (453 nucleotides) under uncultured bacterium. Its description in RNAcentral is "bacterial SSU rRNA". It matches the Rfam family "Bacterial small subunit ribosomal RNA", at positions 339 to 794 of the family's 1533-position model. The record is from RNAcentral.
UUACGGGAGGCAGCAGUAAGGAAUAUUGCGCAAUGGACGAAAGUCUGACGCAGCGACGCCGCGUGGGGGAUGAAGGUCUUCGGAUUGUAAACCCCUUUCGGGAGGGAAGAUGGAGUGGGUAACCACUUGGACGGUACCUCCAGAAGCAGCCACGGCUAACUUCGUGCCAGCAGCCGCGGUAAUACGAAGGUGGCAAGCGUUGUUCGGAUUCACUGGGCGUACAGGGAGCGUAGGCGGUUGGGUAAGCCCUCCGUGAAAUCUCCGGGCCUAACCCGGAAAGUGCAGAGGGGACUGCUCAGCUAGAGGAUGGGAGAGGAGCGCGGAAUUCCCGGUGUAGCGGUGAAAUGCGUAGAGAUCGGGAGGAAGGCCGGUGGCGAAGGCGGCGCUCUGGAACAUUUCUGACGCUGAGGCUCGAAAGCGUGGGGAGCAAACAGGAUUAGAUACCCCGGUAGC